Molecule: ribosomal RNA, 743 nt
Filed under: uncultured bacterium
Lineage: Bacteria
Description: bacterial SSU rRNA
Rfam family: Bacterial small subunit ribosomal RNA
Source: RNAcentral
AGAGUUUGAUCAUGGCUCAGAGCGAACGCUGGCGGCAGGCUUAACACAUGCAAGUCGAGCGGAUGUAGCAAUACAUCAGCGGCAGACGGGUGAGUAACACGUGGGAACGUACCUUUUGGUUCGGAACAACACAGGGAAACUUGUGCUAAUACCGGAUAAGCCCUUACGGGGAAAGAUUUAUCGCCGAAAGAUCGGCCCGCGUCUGAUUAGCUAGUUGGUGAGGUAAUGGCUCACCAAGGCGACGAUCAGUAGCUGGUCUGAGAGGAUGAUCAGCCACAUUGGGACUGAGACACGGCCCAAACUCCUACGGGAGGCAGCAGUGGGGAAUAUUGGACAAUGGGCGCAAGCCUGAUCCAGCCAUGCCGCGUGAGUGAUGAAGGCCCUAGGGUUGUAAAGCUCUUUUGUGCGGGAAGAUAAUGACGGUACCGCAAGAAUAAGCCCCGGCUAACUUCGUGCCAGCAGCCGCGGUAAUACGAAGGGGGCUAGCGUUGCUCGGAAUCACUGGGCGUAAAGGGUGCGUAGGCGGGUCUUUAAGUCAGGGGUGAAAUCCUGGAGCUCAACUCCAGAACUGCCUUUGAUACUGAAGAUCUUGAGUUCGGGAGAGGUGAGUGGAACUGCGAGUGUAGAGGUGAAAUUCGUAGAUAUUCGCAAGAACACCAGUGGCGAAGGCGGCUCCUGGCCCGAUUCUGACGCUGAUGCACGAAAGCGUGGGGAGCAAACAGGAUUAGAUACCCUAGUAGUCC